GGCGGUUCUCAGGUCACGCACCCCAGGAUCGAGUUCCCUCCUGUCUGGUUCCAGGUGCGUCACCUGAGUACCACA
Myotis davidii is the source of this 75-nucleotide non-coding RNA. The record is from Rfam. Lineage: Eukaryota; Metazoa; Chordata; Mammalia; Chiroptera; Vespertilionidae.